CUGUAUAAAAUACAUAUGCCACAUUGCGUGAAAUAUUAUAUGUACGUGUGUCAACACGUAUAUAGUAUAUUAACGCAUAUGACGGUUCCGUGAUUAUGUUACACGCUCGUCGUAUAUCUAUAUUGGCGUCCGUUUAAAUAUUGUCUAACGACACACGUUGAUUAUAACUUUAUAUAUCAUACGACAAUGGUAGAGAUUAUUAUAAUGGUUGUCCAACGAUCGACGGUGUUACCGCUGAUCGCUUUUACCGCCUAAGGGCGGACGCUUUCCACUCUUCCAGUUGUCAGAAUGGUGUUUGUGUUGUGUAUAUGUAAUAAUAUCGCGCGCACACACGCACGCAUACAUACGAGAGGGUUGAUUGCGUGUUCGACACCGUUCACAUGUCGCGAGACGCAUAAACAUUAUCAAUCUCUAUAUAACUAUUGACGUAUACAAUAUGAUAUAUAAGACUCGAAUCAUCGACAGUAGGCGGACUCGACGUCCGAAGAGCGCAUCGACGCCGUCGUCGUUAUCGAUCGUUAUUAUUGUAAAAAAUGUAACGUGUCGUAGCGGUUGCGUCGUCGUAACGCUGACGGAUAUCGCGUCUGCCUCAUUUUUUUAUCGUUGGCCUCAGAUCAGGGAGGAUCACCCGCCGAAUUUAAGCAUAUUAGUAAGCGGAGGAAAAGAAACUAACUAGGAUUUCCUUAGUAGCGGCGAGCGAACAGGAAAGAAGCCCAGCACUGAAUCCCGCCGUUGUUCAGGCGGCGGGAGAUGUGGUGUUCGGGAGGUUCCGCUUUCUCGUCGCGAUCGCUCCUGUCCAAGUUCGUCUUGAACGGGGCCGUUUUCCCGUAGAGGGUGCCAGGCCCGUAGCGACGGAGGAUCGCGGCGAGAGGGACUCUCCUUAGAGUCGGGUUGCUUGAGAGUGCAGCCCUAAGUGGGUGGUAA
This 924-nucleotide small RNA is filed under the name Catocala consors. RNAcentral's name for it is "eukaryotic LSU rRNA". The stretch from base 605 to 924 matches the Rfam family "Eukaryotic large subunit ribosomal RNA", at positions 1 to 302 of the family's 3401-position model. The record is from RNAcentral. Lineage: Eukaryota; Metazoa; Arthropoda; Insecta; Lepidoptera; Erebidae.